GUGGGGAAUAUUGGACAAUGGGGGGAACCCUGAUCCAGCCAUGCCGCGUGUGUGAAGAAGGCCUUUUGGUUGUAAAGCACUUUAAGCGAGGAGGAGGCUACCGAGAUUAAUACUCUUGGAUAGUGGACGUUACUCGCAGAAUAAGCACCGGCUAACUCUGUGCCAGCAGCCGCGGUAAUACAGAGGGUGCAAGCGUUAAUCGGAUUUACUGGGCGUAAAGCGCGCGUAGGUGGCCAAUUAAGGAGAAUGUGAAAUCCCCGAGCUUAACUUGGGAAUUGCAUUCGAUACUGGUUGGCUAGAGUAUGGGAGAGGAUGGUAGAAUUCCAGGUGUAGCGGUGAAAUGCGUAGAGAUCUGGAGGAAUACCGAUGGCGAAGGCAGCCAUCUGGCCUAAUACUGACACUGAGGUGCGAAAGCAUGGGGAGCAAACAGGAUUAGAAACCCCUGUAGUCC
RNAcentral lists this ribosomal RNA (451 nucleotides) under uncultured bacterium. Its description in RNAcentral is "bacterial SSU rRNA". It matches the Rfam family "Bacterial small subunit ribosomal RNA", at positions 354 to 796 of the family's 1533-position model. The record is from RNAcentral.